This 74-nucleotide transfer RNA is filed under the name Triticum aestivum (bread wheat). It matches the Rfam family "tRNA". From Rfam's summary of the family: Transfer RNA (tRNA) molecules are approximately 80 nucleotides in length. Their secondary structure includes four short double-helical elements and three loops (D, anti-codon, and T loops). Further hydrogen bonds mediate the characteristic L-shaped molecular structure. tRNAs have two regions of fundamental functional importance: the anti-codon, which is responsible for specific mRNA codon recognition, and the 3' end, to which the tRNAs corresponding amino acid is attached (by aminoacyl-tRNA synthetases). tRNAs cope with the degeneracy of the genetic code in two manners: having more than one tRNA (with a specific anti-codon) for a particular amino acid; and 'wobble' base-pairing, i.e. permitting non-standard base-pairing at the 3rd anti-codon position. Lineage: Eukaryota; Viridiplantae; Streptophyta; Magnoliopsida; Poales; Poaceae. RNAcentral also lists the same sequence under 1 other name. The record is from Rfam by way of RNAcentral.
GGGAUUGUAGUUCAAUUGGUCAGAGCACCGCCCUGUCAAGGCGGAAGCUGCGGGUUCGAGCCCCCCCUGACCAA